This is a small nuclear RNA of Hyaena hyaena (striped hyena), 104 nucleotides long. The record is from RefSeq and is a predicted model, not a curated record. NCBI's taxonomy places the organism in Eukaryota, Metazoa, Chordata, Mammalia, Carnivora, Hyaenidae.
GUGCUUGCUUCGGCAGCACAUAUACUAAAAUUGUAACAAUAAAGAGAUUGGCAUGGUCCCUUUGCAAGGAUGACACACUAAUUCGUGGACUGUAUGUUCUCUGA